CCCCAUUCCUAACUCUUUAAAUAUUUAAUUUCCUUUCGGUCAGUGAUCAUGACUCCUUUCCGUACACAUUUAUCGGUUUAAAUUUCGAUCAUUUUUAAUAUAAUACACUUUAUUGACAGAACGAGCUAAUACUCGACGUAUUGUUUUAAUUCAGAAUUCACGGAAGUUACUUCCAGAAGGGAGACAAUUGGAAACAAUAAUAUGGAAGACUCCAUUUUGCCUGAAGGGGUGUUCUACGAUGUGGACUAUAUUUAUUUUCAUUUAAAUGAUGCAUAUGAUUUAAAAUUAUGCAACAAUAAUAACCUUCAAUAGCAGACAUACAUAGAAAAGAUCCCAUGAGUUUAAAAUUAAUUAAUUGAGUGGGGAAUCCAGAGCAACCAUUCAAUCGAAAACCCCUCAAAGUCAAGAAAACUAUACGCAUGCGCAUAAUUUCCAAAAAAAAACCUGGAGCAAGAACGUAUAUUAAAUGUUUAUUAAACGACCUAGAUAGUUCUCUAUUUCUUUAUGGAAGUACAAUCUCAAAUAUCAGUUUCAUAAAGGUAAAAUAUAAGAAAAACUCCACUUCAGUUCUUAUAUGACAGAAAUAGAUUUAUCGGAAUUCAGAGAACUCUCGCAUUUUAUCAAACUGGGAAUUCCCUCUAACGUGUUUCUAAAUUUAGAAAAACACUAAAUAUAAAUACUGCGUAAUUCUGAUUUUCCGUGUUGUUAAAAACACGCAUAUAAGUCAAGGGAAUUAUCAAACAUGAAGAUUAUGAAAAGAACAUUAUAGGAAAGUUGUUAAAGUUCAAUCCCUUUGUUUGUUUUUACCUUUAAAGCAAGACAAUCAUAAGAAUCUGAGAUGUUCCUUAAUGUUUAGAAUAAAACGAUUGACGUGAGGGCAAUGCUCUGAGCCACCAGUAUAAGUCUACAGAUUGCUUGAAAGCAAUCGUAUCCCAAAAAU
This 940-nucleotide long non-coding RNA is filed under the name Mytilus galloprovincialis (Mediterranean mussel). The record is from RNAcentral. Lineage: Eukaryota; Metazoa; Mollusca; Bivalvia; Mytilida; Mytilidae.